This 433-nucleotide ribosomal RNA is filed under the name uncultured bacterium. Its description in RNAcentral is "partial 16S ribosomal RNA". It matches the Rfam family "Bacterial small subunit ribosomal RNA", at positions 29 to 507 of the family's 1533-position model. The record is from RNAcentral.
AACGAACGCUGGCGGCAUGCCUAACACAUGCAAGUCGAACGAGACCUUCGGGUCUAGUGGCGCACGGGUGCGUAACGCGUGGGAACCUGCCCUUAGGUUCGGAAUAACUCCCCGAAAGGGGUGCUAAUACCGGAUAAUGUCUUCGGACCAAAGAUUUAUCGCCUUUGGAUGGGCCCGCGUUGGUUUAGCUAGUUGGUAGGGUAAAAGCCUACCAAGGCGACGAUACAUAGCUGGUCUGAGAGGAUGAUCAGCCACACUGGGACUGAGACACGGCCCAGACUCCUACGGGAGGCAGCAGUGGGGAAUAUUGGACAAUGGGCGAAAGCCUGAUCCAGCAAUGCCGCGUGAGUGAUGAAGGCCUUAGGGUUGUAAAGCUCUUUUACCCGGGAUGAUAAUGACAGUACCGGGAGAAUAAGCUCCGGCUAACUCCGUG